GUCACGAUAGCUCAAGUGGUAGAGCAACGGCGUAACUAGCCGAAGUUCGUGGGUUCGAAUCCCGCUCGUGACA
Molecule: transfer RNA, 73 nt
Filed under: Cimex lectularius (bed bug)
Lineage: Eukaryota; Metazoa; Arthropoda; Insecta; Hemiptera; Cimicidae
Description: tRNA-Val
Rfam family: tRNA
About the family: Transfer RNA (tRNA) molecules are approximately 80 nucleotides in length. Their secondary structure includes four short double-helical elements and three loops (D, anti-codon, and T loops). Further hydrogen bonds mediate the characteristic L-shaped molecular structure. tRNAs have two regions of fundamental functional importance: the anti-codon, which is responsible for specific mRNA codon recognition, and the 3' end, to which the tRNAs corresponding amino acid is attached (by aminoacyl-tRNA synthetases). tRNAs cope with the degeneracy of the genetic code in two manners: having more than one tRNA (with a specific anti-codon) for a particular amino acid; and 'wobble' base-pairing, i.e. permitting non-standard base-pairing at the 3rd anti-codon position.
Source: Rfam by way of RNAcentral